RNAcentral lists this ribosomal RNA (1026 nucleotides) under Triticum aestivum (bread wheat). RNAcentral's name for it is "partial small subunit ribosomal RNA". The record is from RNAcentral. Lineage: Eukaryota; Viridiplantae; Streptophyta; Magnoliopsida; Poales; Poaceae.
AUGUCGUCCACCACGGCAGGGGCCGCCCUCCUCCUCCGCCCCACCUCCUCCACGACGAACCAUCUCCUCCGCUUUGCCAGCCCCUGCCCCAAAUCCCACCUCCUCCGCCUCCACUCGCCACGCCGCCGCCUCCCCGUCCUCCGCCUCUCCCUCACGCCCCCCGCCACCGCCGGCAGCAAUUCAGCGCCUUCUCCUCCUUCUCCGCCUCCGUCCUCCACGCCCCCGCCUUCUCUUUUCGCCAACUGGUCUCCGCCGCGCGCGAUCUGGCGGGGGCUCUCGGCGCUGCUCCUCGCAGGGCAGGUCUUCCACCGCGUCCUCACGGGACGCGUCCACCGCCGCAACCUCCUCGCCCAGCUCCGUCGCGUGGGCCCCGGGAGCGCGGGGGUCUCGCUCCUCACCGCCGCCUUCGUCGGCAUGGCCUUCACCAUCCAGUUCGUGCGCGAGUUCACCCGCCUCGGUCUCCACCGCUCCGUUGGUGGCGUCCUUGCCCUCGCGCUCGCCCGCGAGCUCACCCCGGUCGUCACCGCCGUCGUCGCUGCCGGCCGAGUUGGCUCCGCCUUUGCCGCCGAGCUCGGCACCAUGCAGGUGUCCGAGCAGACGGACACCCUCCGCGUCCUCGGCUCACAGCCCAUCGAUUACCUCGUGGUUCCCCGGGUCCUCGCUUGCGUGCUUGCGCUCCCUGUCCUAACCCUCAUCAGCUUCGCCCUCGGGCUCGCCUCCUCGGCGUUCUUGGCCGACGCCGUCUUUGGUGUAAGCACCAGCAUCAUUCUGGAGUCAGCACGCAAGGCGCUGCGACCAUGGGACUUGAUCAGCGCCUUGAUAAAAUCACAGGUGUUCGGUGCCAUUAUUGCGGUGGUGAGCUGUGCAUGGGGUGUGACAACCCACGGAGGAGCCAAGGGCGUUGGCGAGUCCACAACGUCUGCAGUGGUCAUUUCCUUGGUUGGAAUUUUCAUUGCAGACUUCGCCCUUUCGUGCCUGUUCUUCCAGGCUGGUGCUGGUGAUUCACUAAAGCACGCGAUGGGUUAA